RNAcentral lists this ribosomal RNA (858 nucleotides) under uncultured Paracoccaceae bacterium. Its description in RNAcentral is "bacterial SSU rRNA". It matches the Rfam family "Bacterial small subunit ribosomal RNA", at positions 8 to 913 of the family's 1533-position model. The record is from RNAcentral. Lineage: Bacteria; Pseudomonadati; Pseudomonadota; Alphaproteobacteria; Rhodobacterales; Paracoccaceae.
AGAGUUUGAUCCUGGCUCAGAACGAACGCUGGCGGCAGGCCUAACACAUGCAAGUCGAGCGCGCCCUUCGGGGUGAGCGGCGGACGGGUUAGUAACGCGUGGGAACGUACCCAGAUCUAAGGAAUAGCCACUGGAAACGGUGAGUAAUACCUUAUACGCCCUUCGGGGGAAAGAUUUAUCGGAUUUGGAUCGGCCCGCGUUAGAUUAGAUAGUUGGUGGGGUAACGGCCUACCAAGUCUACGAUCUAUAGCUGGUUUUAGAGGAUGAUCAGCAACACUGGGACUGAGACACGGCCCAGACUCCUGCGGGAGGCAGCAGUGGGGAAUCUUGGACAAUGGGCGCAAGCCUGAUCCAGCCAUGCCGCGUGAGUGAUGAAGGCCUUAGGGUCGUAAAGCUCUUUCGCCAGGGAUGAUAAUGACAGUACCUGGUAAAGAAACCCCGGCUAACUCCGUGCCAGCAGCCGCGGUAAUACGGAGGGGGUUAGCGUUGUUCGGAAUUACUGGGCGUAAAGCGCGCGUAGGCGGGUUGUUAAGUUAGAGGUGAAAUCCCGGGGCUCAACCCCGGAACUGCCUUUAAUACUGGCAACCUAGAGUUCGAGAGAGGUGAGUGGAAUUCCGAGUGUAGAGGUGAAAUUCGUAGAUAUUCGGAGGAACACCAGUGGCGAAGGCGGCUCACUGGCUCGAUACUGACGCUGAGGUGCGAAAGUGUGGGGAGCAAACAGGAUUAGAUACCCUGGUAGUCCACACCGUAAACGAUGAAUGCCAGUCGUCGGGUAGCAUGCUAUUCGGUGACACACCUAACGGAUUAAGCAUUCCGCCUGGGGAGUACGGUCGCAAGAUUAAAACUCAAAGGAAAUUG